RNAcentral lists this ribosomal RNA (492 nucleotides) under uncultured bacterium. RNAcentral describes it as "partial 16S ribosomal RNA". It matches the Rfam family "Bacterial small subunit ribosomal RNA", at positions 29 to 507 of the family's 1533-position model. The record is from RNAcentral.
AGUGAACGCUGGCGGUAGGCCUAACACAUGCAAGUCGAACGGCAGCACAGUAAGAGCUUGCUCUUGCGGGUGGCGAGUGGCGGACGGGUGAGGAAUACAUCGGAAUCUACUUUUUCGUGGGGGAUAACGUAGGGAAACUUACGCUAAUACCGCAUACGACCUACGGGUGAAAGCAGGGGAUCUUCGGACCUUGCGCGAUUGAAUGAGCCGAUGUCGGAUUAGCUAGUUGGCGGGGUAAAGGCCCACCAAGGCGACGAUCCGUAGCUGGUCUGAGAGGAUGAUCAGCCACACUGGAACUGAGACACGGUCCAGACUCCUACGGGAGGCAGCAGUGGGGAAUAUUGGACAAUGGGCGCAAGCCUGAUCCAGCCAUACCGCGUGGGUGAAGAAGGCCUUCGGGUUGUAAAGCCCUUUUGUUGGGAAAGAAAAGCAGCAGGUUAAUACCCCGCUGCUCUGACGGUACCCAAAGAAUAAGCACCGGCUAACUUCGUG